Acanthosepion pharaonis is the source of this 92-nucleotide non-coding RNA. The record is from the annotation of a GenBank genome assembly. NCBI's taxonomy places the organism in Eukaryota, Metazoa, Mollusca, Cephalopoda, Sepiida, Sepiidae.
UUUAAACACCGGUUCUGGUACGAUCACGCAAGUUAAGCAAGGUUGAGCUUGGUCAGUACCUCGAUAAGAGACCGCUUGGGAAUAUCAGGUAG